GAGGAUAUAGCUCAGUGGUAGAGUACAUGUUUAGCAUACAUGAGAUCCUGGGUUCAAUCCCCAGUACCCCCA
RNAcentral lists this transfer RNA (72 nucleotides) under Camelus bactrianus (Bactrian camel). It matches the Rfam family "tRNA". Rfam says of the family: Transfer RNA (tRNA) molecules are approximately 80 nucleotides in length. Their secondary structure includes four short double-helical elements and three loops (D, anti-codon, and T loops). RNAcentral also lists the same sequence under 2 other names. The record is from Rfam by way of RNAcentral. Lineage: Eukaryota; Metazoa; Chordata; Mammalia; Artiodactyla; Camelidae.